AUUGAACGCUGGCGGCAGGCCUAACACAUGCAAGUCGAGCGAGCGGCGGACGGGUGAGUAAUGUAUGGGAUUUGCCCGGAAGAGGGGGAUAACUAAUGGAAAAGGUGGCUAAUACCCGACACUUUCGGAUGGACCCAUAUGGGAUUGGCUAGUAGGUUGGGUAAAGGCUCAACUAGGCCACGAUCCCUAGCUGGUCUGAGAGGAUGAUCAGCCACACUGGGACUGAGAAACGGCCCAGACUCCUACGGGAGGCAGCAGUGGGGAAUAUUGCACAAUGGGCGCAAGCCUGAUGCAGCCAUGCCGCGUGUAUGAAGAAGGCCUUAGGGUUGUAAAGUACUUUCAGCGGGGAGGCGUUACCCGCAGAAGAAGCACCGGCUAACUCCGUGCCAGCCGCCGCGGUAAUAC
Molecule: ribosomal RNA, 405 nt
Filed under: uncultured bacterium
Lineage: Bacteria
Description: partial 16S ribosomal RNA
Rfam family: Bacterial small subunit ribosomal RNA
Source: RNAcentral